This 402-nucleotide ribosomal RNA is filed under the name Mycobacterium sp. P700. Its description in RNAcentral is "bacterial SSU rRNA". It matches the Rfam family "Bacterial small subunit ribosomal RNA", at positions 26 to 430 of the family's 1533-position model. The record is from RNAcentral. Lineage: Bacteria; Bacillati; Actinomycetota; Actinomycetes; Mycobacteriales; Mycobacteriaceae.
AGGACGAACGCUGGCGGCGUGCUUAACACAUGCAAGUCGAACGGAAAGGCCCUUUCGGGGGUACUCGAGUGGCGAACGGGUGAGUAACACGUGGGUGAUCUGCCCUGCACUCUGGGAUAAGCUUGGGAAACUGGGUCUAAUACCGGAUAGGACCAUGGGAUGCAUGUUCUGUGGUGGAAAGCUUUUGCGGUGUGGGAUGGGCCCGCGGCCUAUCAGCUUGUUGGUGGGGUGAUGGCCUACCAAGGCGACGACGGGUAGCCGGCCUGAGAGGGUGUCCGGCCACACUGGGACUGAGAUACGGCCCAGACUCCUACGGGAGGCAGCAGUGGGGAAUAUUGCACAAUGGGCGCAAGCCUGAUGCAGCGACGCCGCGUGGGGGAUGACGGCCUUCGGGUUGUAAAC